UGGGAGGGAGAGCUAAACCUUCAGAGAGGCAGACACACCUGGGAAACCAGAAGAGACUGCACGCUGCACACAUUACUGAUUCCAGAGGAAAACACCAAACGCCAUCUGGAACCCUGGUGCACUGAAGCUCCCGGAAACGAAGGCGCAGAUCUUCCUGGUUGCUGCCACCACAGAGAGCUCUUGGGCAGCACCCCGCAAGCGAACUUGAGCCUCGGGACCACAGGUAAGAACAACUUUUCUGCUAUAAGUGACCUGCCUGGUGAACUCAAGACACAGGCCCACAGGAACAGCUGAAGACCUGUAGAGAGGAAAAACUACACGCCUGAAAGCAGAACACUCUGUCCCCAUAACAGGCUGAAAGAAAACAGGAAAA
This 373-nucleotide long non-coding RNA is filed under the name Rattus norvegicus (Norway rat). RNAcentral describes it as "long non-coding RNA NONRATT021383". Lineage: Eukaryota; Metazoa; Chordata; Mammalia; Rodentia; Muridae. The record is from RNAcentral.